GAGUUUGAUCGUGGCUCAGAUUGAACGCUGGCGGCAGGCUUAACACAUGCAAGUCGAGCGGGGGAGAUUGCUUCGGUAAUUGACCUAGCGGCGGACGGGUGAGUAAUACUUAGGAAUCUGCCUAUUAAUGGGGGACAACAUCUCGAAAGGGAUGCUAAUACCGCAUACGCCCUACGGGGAAAGCAGGGGAUCACUUGUGACCUUGCGUUAAUAGAUGAGCCUAAGUCGGAUUGGCUAGUUGGUGGGGUAAAGGCCUACCAAGGCGACGAUCUGUAGCGGGUCUGAGAGGAUGAUCCGCCACACUGGGACUGAGACACGGCCCAGACUCCUACGGGAGGCAGCAGUGGGGAAUAUUGGACAAUGGGGGGAACCCUGAUCCAGCCAUGCCGCGUGUGUGAAGAAGGCCUUAUGGUUGUAAAGCACUUUAAGCGAGGAGGAGGCUCCUGCAGUUAAUACCUACAGAGAGUGGACGUUACUCGCAGAAUAAGCACCGGCUAACUCUGUGACAGCAG
This 512-nucleotide ribosomal RNA is filed under the name uncultured microorganism. Its description in RNAcentral is "bacterial SSU rRNA". It matches the Rfam family "Bacterial small subunit ribosomal RNA", at positions 9 to 514 of the family's 1533-position model. The record is from RNAcentral.